RNAcentral lists this long non-coding RNA (556 nucleotides) under Nicotiana benthamiana. RNAcentral describes it as "long non-coding RNA (NBEN_LNC016216)". Lineage: Eukaryota; Viridiplantae; Streptophyta; Magnoliopsida; Solanales; Solanaceae. The record is from RNAcentral.
UUCCCCCUCAACCUAACCCUAAACUUAGAAAAUAAGUUUGAUCCGCUGGUGCACUGCUAUGGCAUUUCUUUGUGCAUCACAUUUUGGUCAAUUAAUGGGUGUAUCAUAUUUAAAGUUUUCAUCUUCGGCAACAUCUCCUAAAUUCAGCUCCAAAUAGCACAUAAUGUGUAUUGGACGGCCGCAUGGUAACAAUUCAAUCACACCAAACUCAUGAAAAUCAAUUAGAAGGUUUUGCAGCAACCGACAUCUGUAUCAAAGGUAGACCACUCUUUGCCUUAAUCUUUCUAGUCUGAAGGCACCUCCAUAUCAACCAGCUCCUCCGGUGGUAGUGGCUCUGGGAACAGAGAGAGGUGAAAAGGUAUGUAUGCGAUUAUGUCUUCGUCACACCAACAACGUGCUCGAUUUAGAUUAUUGAUAAAGCAUGUUAUGUGCACUAUAUGCAUUAGGAUGCACGGAUGUGAAAAAAUGACAACCUCGACAUCUCUUAUAGGGGACCAACAAGUAACAAAAUUCUCUGCUUUUAACCAAUUGACGAAGGCCAAUUUCUUCAUUCUCU